Molecule: unclassified non-coding RNA, 376 nt
Filed under: soil metagenome
Description: partial contains 5.8S ribosomal RNA, internal transcribed spacer 2, and large subunit ribosomal RNA
Rfam family: 5.8S ribosomal RNA (bases 1-120)
Source: RNAcentral
GAUGAAGAACGCAGCGAAAUGCGAUAAGUAAUGUGAUUUGCAGAAUUCAGUGAAUCAUCGAAUCUUUGAACGCAUCUUGCGCUCCUUGGUAUUCUGAGGAGCAUGCCUGUUUGAGUGUCAUUAAAUUCUCAACUACACUGACUUUGAAUUGGUGUGGCUUGGAUUUGGGGGGAAAAUUGUUGUGGGCUUUUUGUAUAGUCUGCUCCCCUGAAAUUGAUUAGCGGUACCUUUGUGGAACUGUCUACAGGUGUGAUAAUUAUCUACAUCUUAGACAUCUGCUGGAAUGCUGCUUUCUAAACCUUACUUGUAUUGACAAUCUUGACCUCAAAUCAGGUAGGACUACCCGCUGAACUUAAGCAUAUCAAUAAGCGGAGGA